CCUACGGGUGGCAGCAGUGGGGAAUAUUGCACAAUGGGGGAAACCCUGAUGCAGCGACGCCGCGUGAGUGAAGAAGUAUUUCGGUAUGUAAAGCUUCAUCUGCAGGGAAGUAAAUGACGGUACCUGUCUAAGAAGCCCCGGCUAAAUACGUGCCAGCAGCCGUGGCAAUACGUAGGGGGCCAGCGUUAUCCGGAUUUACUGGGUGUAAAGGGAGCGUAGACGGCCAGACAAGUCAGAAGUGAAAGCCCAGGGCUCAACCCUGGGACUGCUUUUGAAACUGCCGGGCUGGAGUGCAGGAGAGGUAGGCGGAAUUCCUGGUGUAGCGGUGAAAUGCGUAGAUAUUAGGAAGAACACCAGUAGCGAAGGCAGCUUACUAGACUGUAACUGACGUUGAGGCUCGAAAGCGUGGGGAGCAAACAGGAUUAGAUACCCCAGUAGUC
This 440-nucleotide ribosomal RNA is filed under the name uncultured bacterium. Its description in RNAcentral is "partial 16S ribosomal RNA". It matches the Rfam family "Bacterial small subunit ribosomal RNA", at positions 338 to 795 of the family's 1533-position model. The record is from RNAcentral.